AUGAGAGCUGGGAGGCAUCCCGUAGUAGAAUUACGGAAAUUCUACUAAAACGAAGAUAUGGUGUUUUUGAGAGUGAAUGUUGCCAUUGCAGAAAGGCUCCAGCCAUCAUCAAAUGCGAAGAGUGUGGCUCAAAGAAACACUUGUGUGCCAGCUGUGAUGUAACUGUUCAUCAUAGCCACCCUUUGCACGAUAGACUGGGUGUUAUUGAUGGUCACUAUAAAGCCAUCCCACCAACAGUAGCAUUCAGUACAUCAUGUGACAAGCUGAUCGACAUUGMUAAGACUUAGAGAUGUCUACCUUCUGGUGAGGUAUUUUGUCCCGACUGUAACAUCAUUUGCCAGCUUGUUAAUGAAAGUGAAAGUGGCAAUGCAAUUUUUGUUUCAAUCAAAGGGAGGUUUGACAUAAUGCAUACCAGGUAUGCAUGCAAAAAUUGCAAGAAGGAAUAUCCAAGCUCAUCCCUAGAUGUAGUUCUUCAACUUGGAUAUUGGCCAGGAAGCAUCAAAAACGUCAAUUAUAUUUUCGACCCAAAUUUGUUUGUAUUAUGGCACGAACUCAAGAGCUUAGUUCCUGGCAUAUCAGAAGCCUCUUUUCUGAAGUCAUUAGAACAAUCUUCCAAACAUAAUGGACGGGUAUGUCGAU
Exaiptasia diaphana is the source of this 639-nucleotide long non-coding RNA. RefSeq lists it as uncharacterized. The transcript is spliced from 3 exons. Lineage: Eukaryota; Metazoa; Cnidaria; Anthozoa; Actiniaria; Aiptasiidae. The record is from RefSeq and is a predicted model, not a curated record.